Molecule: ribosomal RNA, 429 nt
Filed under: Chloroflexota bacterium
Lineage: Bacteria; Bacillati; Chloroflexota
Description: Chloroflexi bacterium partial 16S ribosomal RNA
Rfam family: Bacterial small subunit ribosomal RNA
Source: RNAcentral
UGGGGAAUAUUGCACAAUGGGCGCAAGCCUGAUGCAGCCAUGCCGCGUGUAUGAAGAAGGCCUUCGGGUUGUAAAGUACUUUCAGCGGGGAGGAAGGGAGUAAAUUUAAUACCUUUGCUCAUUGACGUUACCCGCAGAAGAAGCACCGGCUAACUCCGUGCCAGCAGCCGCGGUAAUACGGAGGGUGCAAGCGUUAAUCGGAAUUACUGGGCGUAAAGCGCACGCAGGCGGUUUGUUAAGUCAGAUGUGAAAUCCCCGGGCUCAACCUGGGAACUGCAUCUGAUACUGGCAAGCUUGAGUCUCGUAGAGGGGGGUAGAAUUACAGGUGUAGCGGUGAAAUGCGUAGAGAUCGGGAGGAAUACCGGUGGCGAAGGCGGCCCCCUGGACGAAGACUGACGCUCAGGUGAGAAAGCGUGGGGAGCAAACAGG